UGUCUGAAUAUGGGGGGACCAUCCUCCAAGGCUAAAUACUCCUGACUGACCGAUAGUGAACCAGUACCGUGAGGGAAAGGCGAAAAGAACCCCGGCGAGGGGAGUGAAAAAGAACCUGAAACCGUGUACGUACAAGCAGUGGGAGCACGCUUAGGCGUGUGACUGCGUACCUUUUGUAUAAUGGGUCAGCGACUUAUAUUCUGUAGCAAGGUUAACCGAAUAGGGGAGCCGAAGGGAAACCGAGUCUUAACUGGGCGUUAAGUUGCAGGGUAUAGACCCGAAACCCGGUGAUCUAGCCAUGGGCAGGUUGAAGGUUGGGUAACACUAACUGGAGGACCGAACCGACUAAUGUUGAAAAAUUAGCGGAUGACUUGUGGCUGGGGGUGAAAGGCCAAUCAAACCGGGAGAUAGCUGGUUCUCCCCGAAAGCUAUUUAGGUAGCGCCUCGUGAAUUCAUCUCCGGGGGUAGAGCACUGUUUCGGCAAGGGGGUCAUCCCGACUUACCAACCCGAUGCAAACUGCGAAUACCGGAGAAUGUUAUCACGGGAGACACACGGCGGGUGCUAACGUCCGUCGUGAAGAGGGAAACAACCCAGACCGCCAGCUAAGGUCCCAAAGUCAUGGUUAAGUGGGAAACGAUGUGGGAAGGCCCAGACAGCCAGGAUGUUGGCUUAGAAGCAGCCAUCAUUUAAAGAAAGCGUAAUAGCUCACUGGUCGAGUCGGCCUGCGCGGAAGAUGUAACGGGGCUAAACCAUGCACCGAAGCUGCGGCAGCGACGCUGAUGCGUUGUUGGGUAGGGGAGCGUUCUGUAAGCCUGCGAAGGUGUGCUGUGAGGCAUGCUGGAGGUAUCAGAAGUGCGAAUGCUGACAUAAGUAACGAUAAAGCGGGUGAAAAGCCCGCUCGCCGGAAGACCAAGGGUUCCUGUCCAACGUUAAUCGGGGCAGGGUGAGUCGACCCCUAAGGCGAGGCCGAAAGGCGUAGUCGAUGGGAAACAGGUUAAUAUUCCUGUACUUGGUGUUACUGCGAAGGGGGGACGGAGAAGGCUAUGUUGGCCGGGCGACGGUUGUCCCGGUUUAAGCGUGUAGGCUGGUUUUCCAGGCAAAUCCGGAAAAUCAAGGCUGAGGCGUGAUGACGAGGCACU
This 1140-nucleotide ribosomal RNA is filed under the name Escherichia coli. RNAcentral's name for it is "partial 23S ribosomal RNA". It matches the Rfam family "Bacterial large subunit ribosomal RNA", at positions 435 to 1578 of the family's 2925-position model. Lineage: Bacteria; Pseudomonadati; Pseudomonadota; Gammaproteobacteria; Enterobacterales; Enterobacteriaceae. The record is from RNAcentral.